RNAcentral lists this ribosomal RNA (497 nucleotides) under uncultured bacterium. Its description in RNAcentral is "partial 16S ribosomal RNA". It matches the Rfam family "Bacterial small subunit ribosomal RNA", at positions 28 to 507 of the family's 1533-position model. The record is from RNAcentral.
GAUGAACGCUGGCGGCGUGCCUAAUACAUGCAAGUCGAGCGAACAGACGAGGAGCUUGCUCCUCUGACGUUAGCGGCGGACGGGUGAGUAACACGUGGAUAACCUACCUAUAAGACUGGGAUAACUUCGGGAAACCGGAGCUAAUACCGGAUAAUAUAUUGAACCGCAUGGUUCAAUAGUGAAAGACGGUUUUGCUGUCACUUAUAGAUGGAUCCGCGCCGCAUUAGCUAGUUGGUAAGGUAACGGCUUACCAAGGCAACGAUGCGUAGCCGACCUGAGAGGGUGAUCGGCCCCACUGGAACUGAGACACGGUCCAGACUCCUACGGGAGGCAGCAGUAGGGAAUCUUCCGCAAUGGGCGAAAGCCUGACGGAUCAACGCCGCGUGAGUGAUGAAGGUCUUCGGAUCGUAAAACUCUGUUAUUAGGGAAGAACAAAUGUGUAAGUAACUAUGCACGUCUUGACGGUACCUAAUCAGAAAGCCACGGCUAACUACGUG